ACCAAGUCUGCGUCAUCCUCUC
This 22-nucleotide microRNA is filed under the name Homo sapiens (human). RNAcentral describes it as "hsa-miR-3691-3p". Lineage: Eukaryota; Metazoa; Chordata; Mammalia; Primates; Hominidae. The record is from miRBase by way of RNAcentral.